Molecule: long non-coding RNA, 558 nt
Filed under: Homo sapiens (human)
Lineage: Eukaryota; Metazoa; Chordata; Mammalia; Primates; Hominidae
Description: HSALNT0079221
Source: RNAcentral
UUAACUGAAGGCAAUUCCUGUGCUUUUUCCUUCCUAGGAUAAUUGAAAACUUUCCUAAUUGUGGACACAGUGAUAAUAAUUUUUUUAUUCUUGAUAAUUCCCUGUUAAACAUCUGACUGUCAGGGUAUAUGCUAUGCACUAGGCACAAGGUGAACCAAAUGGAGAGUGAACAGGUUUUCCCUCCUCAAGGAGCUUGCACGUUGACUCUCCUUCCUUCUGCUGUAAUUCGAUGAUUUAGAACAAGUGAAAGAUUUGUACUUUUUGUAUGUCUAAGAUGAACAUCAUGCAGUAUUGAAUCUUGUUUCUGAAACCUGAGAUUAAUUUAAAUAUGAGACACUCUCCUUUCAUCUAGUUACAUGGAGUCAUGCAAACAUAAAAUAUAUAAUAGCAAGAUGGCUGGAGCCUGAUUCAUUUCUUGAUUAGAUGAAGCUUAGCAGAUUAUCUGUGUUGCACAGAGGUAUGUCAACAUGAAAAAGCACAUUUUCAAAUGUUUUUUUCAGUGUGGUCCAAGGAUCCCUUGGGAAGGGGUUUACUUUUGCAUUAAGUAUUUAUAAACAC